UCAGGGAUUCAGUAAUACAGGUAAACAAUAGCUUUUGGGGAAAGGACGCUAAGACGUCAAUUUCAAACUUAUUAUAUCAUCAUAAUGUAAUUUCUUUUGAAACAUCUAUUACAAUCAACAAUGUAACUUUUUAAAUUAUAUUUAUGAUGGUUGUGUUUGCUUUCUUUACUAUUUACUCAACUGUUCUGAUACUACAUGAAGUCAUCCGCCUUCGAACAAUUCCGCCGUUCUGGUUUAGAGGUUUGACAAAGGCCCUGUUUAAUAAGUCAUCCGCCUUCGAACAAUUCCGCCGUUCUGGUUUAGAGGUUUGACAAAGGCCCUGUUUAAUAAGUCAUCCGCCUUCGAACGAUUCCGCCGUUCUGGUUUGGGGGUUUGACAAAGGCCUCGUUUAAUAGUUGUUGACUGAGAAAGUGCUGAUUGGGAAAGGUCUAUCUAGGUAAGAAAUCCUGAACGAGUAACAAAUCAUGUUGUUUGAUUGUACAUCUGACCGGAUGUGCGGAAUGAUGACAAAUGACCAUUUUACCCUCGUUCUAAACCAACAUCCUAAAACAUUCAUAUUUAAAGUAAUUUAUCAUAACUUUUAUCGUGAUCAAGAACAAUUUUAAACAUAAAACAAUUUUCUACUAAUGAAAUCAACAUCCUAAAUAAUAAUAGCACAAUUAGGUACCCGUUUGGUAGAUGAACUGGGUGGAACAGAACUAGAUUGGACUGAACUGAAUAGAACUAGACUGGACAUGACAAAUAAUUUGUAUAGAGUUUGGUAAGACUGGAACAGAACAGAACAAGUUGUCUGAAACUGUUUGGUAAAAAUAGAACCGGACAGAACAAGAUGUAAAAAUGACCAUAUUACCCUUUUACAAAAAAUGUUAAUAAUAACUCUAUUUGUCAUACAUAACUUCAAAAUUAACAUUUUUAUUAAAAAGUUAUUUAAAAUUUUCAUAUUAACACAAGUUCUAAUAACAAAUAAUCAAAAUUGCUUCAAAAUAAUAAAGUUCUAAACCCAAAUGGUUUCCGAAAUCCGUCAUUUUAAACAUAAAAUAACAAUCUUCAAUUGUCUUCUUCAUAAUCUUCGCAACAAAAUGGUUUAGUAGUUACAUCCAAGCUAUUUCACCUCAGUAACAAAUACAUGUUUUUUUUUGUAAAAUUUAAACAGACCCGCAUGACUUCUGAAGAAGACAACUCCAUGGUCUUCAACUCUCCAUAUCUACGGAGUUAAAAAAACAAGUAAAAAGGAGCAUUCUAUUGAUUUUAAAGAAAGACGUUUGAGGGACGAAUAUGGAAGAUUUUUUUUACCGGUAUGGGAAAAAAAUAAUAUUAAAAUAAAUGAAAUGCUUGCAAGAGGUUGGAGAGAUACAAAAGCUAAUAAAAACAAAAGAAAACUACACAAAACAAACAAUGUACUUAACCUCAAUAACAAUAUGUUUUCACCACCACCAUCCAAGAGCAACUAAACAAUUAAAUGAAAUCUUCCAACUAACAGGUAAAAAAACUCAAGGGCAAGUAUAAAAGUUCAGGGGCAAUUUCGUCCGAAAUGAAGUAUCUACAACUUGAACCGGGCAAAAUAACAUAAACUUGACAAGUACUAAACUAGGCAGCAAAAGUUUGCUUAUUUUAGCCUCCCAAGAACCAAUAAUGAUGUUUAUCAUAAACUGUAGAGGAACAAAAGCUUAGGGACAAUUUGGUUAAAAAAAUAGAACACAUUAUCAACAUUAAAAAAAAAUGUUUAGCCUCCUAAAGUUGAUACUACCUUUAAUUGAUCGAAAGCAUGACCAAUAACAUCUUAAAUCAUAUUCUAACAUGUUCCUUUUAAUUUAAAACCAGCAAAAGAAAACAAAAUACACAAGGUAAUUGACUUUUUUUGGGCAAGAUCGAUCAAGAGGGCUAAAGACAUAGCAUAAUCGACCUUUAUCUUCCCUCUAUAUUGUUAAAAACUUUUGAAAAUUGCUGGCAAGAGUUUAAUAAACAUACAUUACAAGCUACCUAUUAAUUCUACAAAAAUAUUGCAAAUUAGUAGUGAUUAUCGAUAACUUCAAGCCAUUCAAAAUUAUAAACAUAUGAAUUUACAAAGCAACAAAUGUGGUUUAAGGCAUAAAUCGAAAUCAAAACAUAUAAAUUAAGAUAUCAUUUAGCUAAUUGAAGAGAUGCAUAUUCUGAAGUUUAAUCAUACCUGGUGAUGAUAAGAAUCAGACGACAUUUAUAAGAAUUCAAUGGCUGGAGAAGUCAUAUGGCAUCAAAUCGAGGAUGACGAAUCGAUAAUCAGUUUGUGUUUACAAUGGAUUGAGAUGAUUAUACGAAAUAGUUCAUUAGGUUUAACGAUCUGCAUUAGAAGAAGAACAAGGAAAAAUCAAAAUAAACAAGAAAUCAGAAGAACAACAACAAAAAAUCUGAACACAAACAGCAAAAAUCCGAACAGGAAAGGUCUGUUGAAAAAUCAGAACACAAACAUCAAGAAAUCGGAAGAGAAACAACUAAAAAAAGGCAACCGAGAAGAGGGUAGUCGUACCUGAUGAGAAGAUAUCUUCGAUAGGUACGGGUGCAGUGGCUAAAAUCGUCGAUCGAUAAGGAGAAAAGGUUCUGAUCAUCGACCGUUGAAGAGAGAAGAUCCAUAUGGAGACGCUGAAACUUGAACGCAUGGCAAGGAAAGGCAAGGGCAUUUUGGGGAACUUUCUCAGUAGAUAUCUCAUAUCUUUCCCAUCCAGAUCUAACUUACCAAGUCAGACAUGCAAAAUCUGUUUCCCAAACAAGAAUAGCUGACCGAGUCAGCAAAAAACAUCUGACCGGGCCGGAUCAGACGUAUAUC
RNAcentral lists this long non-coding RNA (2800 nucleotides) under Lactuca sativa (garden lettuce). RNAcentral describes it as "long non-coding RNA (LSAT_LNC002008)". The record is from RNAcentral. Lineage: Eukaryota; Viridiplantae; Streptophyta; Magnoliopsida; Asterales; Asteraceae.